Molecule: ribosomal RNA, 463 nt
Filed under: uncultured Methylococcales bacterium
Lineage: Bacteria; Pseudomonadati; Pseudomonadota; Gammaproteobacteria; Methylococcales
Description: bacterial SSU rRNA
Rfam family: Bacterial small subunit ribosomal RNA
Source: RNAcentral
CCUACGGGAGGCAGCAGUGGGGAAUAUUGGACAAUGGGCGAAAGCCUGAUCCAGCAAUACCGCGUGCGUGAAGAAGGCCUGAGGGUUGUAAAGCACUUUCAAUUGGGAGGAAUACCUAUCCCUUAAUACGGGGUAGACUGACAUUACCUUUAGAAGAAGCACCGGCUAACUCCGUGCCAGCAGCCGCGGUAAUACGGAGGGUGCGAGCGUUAAUCGGAAUUACUGGGCGUAAAGCGUGCGUAGGCGGUUAUUUAAGUCAGAUGUGAAAUCCCCGGGCUCAACCUGGGAACUGCAUCUGAUACUGGGUAACUAGAGUGUGGGAGAGGAGAGUGGAAUUUCCGGUGUAGCGGUGAAAUGCGUAGAGAUCUGAAGGAACACCAGUGGCGAAGGCGACUCCCUGGCUUAAAACUGACGCUGAGGUACGAAAGCGUGGGUAGCAAACAGGAUUAGAUACCCCGGUAGU